Molecule: long non-coding RNA, 600 nt
Organism: Setaria italica (foxtail millet)
Lineage: Eukaryota; Viridiplantae; Streptophyta; Magnoliopsida; Poales; Poaceae
Exons: 2
Source: RefSeq, a predicted model, not a curated record
CAAAAUUCAGAAUCAACUUUACUUGCAUGGUUGGCUUGAACUCCUCCACAACUCCUCCCAUCCACUCCAUCUUUCCUCCUCCUCCUCUGCAAAAUGAUCUCCAGGUCAAUGGAGAUUCCAGCAUGGCGCGUGCUGCUUUUCUUGGCAUGCCUACUUGCUGCAGAGUUUGCCGGUUUCAGUCAGGGAGGGCGAAUCGUCGCGGAAGAAGACGAGCGACCGGCAUAUUCAGUGGAGCAGCAGCUCUACAAGGUGCCAAGAACGCAAGAACGUAUUGGAAGUGGUUCUCCUCCCGGGCGGAUGUACGAAGCAUCGGCGAGACCAGUGCCACAAGGCUCAAAUCCCCUGCAUAACCGAUAAUUCAGGAUUCUAACGAAGAGCAUUGGAGAAUUGGAGUUCCACCGUUGCCGGUUCCGGCUGGAGCUUGUGCCCCGGUACUUCCCAACCAACGGGUGACGGGUGUGUGGUGGUGCUUCGUCGCCGGCAAGCCGGGAGAGAGCCGUGGAGCUGAUGGACGUCUGCAUGUGCGCUGUGACCUUUGAGACAAACUCUUUGGACCUAAUAACCAUGCAUGACUAAAAUGAUCGAUCAGAAAUUCAGAGU